GCUACAGCGUCAUGGAGGUCUGCUACAGCGUCAUGGAGGUCUGCUACAGCAUCAUCGAGGUCCGCUGCAGCGUCAUGGAGGUCCGCUACAGCUUCAUGGAGGUCUGCCACAGUGUCAUCAAAAUCUGCUGCAGAGUCAUCGAAGAUACCAGCCACACGUGAUGCUGGCUUCCGUUGCUCGUCGGACUGACGUGCAUCAAACUGGACAGUGGACAAGUGCAACACACUAUCGCUAUUGCAACCACCGACUGUGAUGCAGUGGGCAUCGGCAUCCAGCUGGGGAUCGGACACAGAGCAGAGUUGCGGACAUGCAAGCCCAGCGCACACGUGCUGCGUGGAGGAGACAAACUUCACUUUGGUUGCCCUUCAUGGAGCGUUGGAAGAACGUGCAUCGGACUGAACUGUUGGCCACUGUAAUGCAAGCUAUUGCUGCUGCAAACAUCUACAGUGAUGCAGUGGACAUCAACGAUCAACCUUUAAUUUUGCAUGUGUCUGAAAAAAAUAUUUUUCUUAGUGUGCUGCUUGUUUGCCGCUUGUUGCCCCUUGUUGCCGCUAUCUUGGUUGUUGCCGCUUGUUGCCGCUAUCUUGGUUGUUGCCGCUUGUUGCCGCUAUCUUGGUUGUUGUGUGUGGAUUACGGUCGUCGUUAUGUCAUAGCAGUGUGCUUGUGCAUGUGUGUGCAUGUGUGUGUGUGUGCGCUGAGGAGAUGCUCCCCGCAUGAAACUAACAGUUGCCAGCAUGACUGCUUGUACACCAUGGCCUUACAAGGAGCGCAACAUGUAUGCUUCCCCUAUCGUCAACCACUCCGCAGUUUACAGCUUAUUAAAUUCUAAUGCCGGGAGAGCUGCGUGAUUGGAUGUGACAUCGUAGCUUGUAAGGUGCAGUGUACCAUGCUUCUGCGGCAUUGUACUGUGCAGGGCCUCGGGGGCCUUCCUGCCGCUUGGA
Sycon ciliatum is the source of this 941-nucleotide long non-coding RNA. RefSeq lists it as uncharacterized. Lineage: Eukaryota; Metazoa; Porifera; Calcarea; Leucosolenida; Sycettidae. The transcript is spliced from 3 exons. The record is from RefSeq and is a predicted model, not a curated record.